CCUUCGGGCUUUAGUGGCGAACGGGUGAGUAACGCGUAAGCAAUCUGCCUUUAAGACGAGGAUAACAGUUGGAAACGACUGCUAAGACUGGAUAGGAGAUAGGAAGGCAUCUUCUUAUUUUUAAAAGACCUAGUAAUAGGUAUGCUUAAAGAGGAGCUUGCGUCACAUUAGUUAGUUGGUAGGGUAAAAGCCUACCAAGACUAUGAUGUGUAGCCGGGCUGAGAGGUCAAACGGCCACAUUGGGACUGAGACACGGCCCAAACUCCUACGGGAGGCAGCAGUAAGGAAUUUUCGGCAAUGGAGGAAACUCUGACCGAGCAACGCCGCGUGAACGAUGAAGUAUUUCGGUACGUAAAGUUCUUUUAUUAGGGAAGAAAAGAUGGUGGAAAAACCAUUAUGACGGUACCUAAUGAAUAAGCCCCGGCUAACUAUGUGCCAGCAGCCGCGGUAAUACAUAGGGGGCAAGCGUUAUCCGGAAUUAUUGGGCGUAAAGGGUGCGUAGGCGGUUAAAUAAGUUUAUGGUCUAAGUGCAAUGCUCAACGUUGUGAUGCUAUAAAAACUGUUUAGCUAGAGUUGGAUAGAGGCAAGUGGAAUUUCAUGUGUAGUGGUAAAAUGCGUAAAUAUAUGGAGGAACACCAGGAGCGAAGGCGGCUUGCUGGGUCUUAACUGACGCUGAGGCACGAAAGCGUGGGGAGCAAACAGGAUUAGAUACCCUGGUAGUCCACGCCCUAAACGAUGAGUACUAAACGUUGGGUAAAACCAGUGUUGAAGUUAACACAUUAAGUACUCCGCCUGAGUAGUACGUACGCAAGUAUGAAACUUAAAGGAAUUGACGGGACUCCGCACAAGCGGUGGAUCAUGUUGUUUAAUUCGAAGGUACCCGAAAAACCUCACCAGGUCUUGACAUGCUUUUGCAAAGCUGUAGAAAUACAGUGGAGGUUAUCAAUUGCACAGGUGGUGCAUGGUUGUCGUCAGCUCGUGUCGUGAGAUGUUGGGUUAAGUCCCGCAACGAGCGCAACCCUUGUUGUUAAUUGCCAGCAUGUAAUGAUGGGGACUUUAGCAAGACUGCCAGUGAUAAAUUGGAGGAAGGUGGGGACGACGUCAAAUCAUCAUGCCCCUUAUGACCUGGGCUACAAACGUGAUACAAUGGCUGUUACAAAGGGUAGCUAAAGCGCAAGCUUCUGGCGAAUCUCAAAAAAGCAGUCUCAGUUCGGAUUGA
Molecule: ribosomal RNA, 1219 nt
Filed under: Candidatus Phytoplasma fragariae
Lineage: Bacteria; Bacillati; Mycoplasmatota; Mollicutes; Acholeplasmatales; Acholeplasmataceae
Description: bacterial SSU rRNA
Rfam family: Bacterial small subunit ribosomal RNA
Source: RNAcentral